AGAAAAAUAAGCUAAGUUUAAGCUUACAGGUUCAUACCCUGUCCAUGGAAUUACCCUUUUUCUA
This 64-nucleotide transfer RNA is filed under the name Vietnamella sp. MT-2014. Its description in RNAcentral is "tRNA-Met". The record is from RNAcentral. Lineage: Eukaryota; Metazoa; Arthropoda; Insecta; Ephemeroptera; Ephemerellidae.